This 429-nucleotide ribosomal RNA is filed under the name Gemmatimonadota bacterium. RNAcentral describes it as "Gemmatimonadetes bacterium partial 16S ribosomal RNA". It matches the Rfam family "Bacterial small subunit ribosomal RNA", at positions 355 to 776 of the family's 1533-position model. Lineage: Bacteria; Pseudomonadati; Gemmatimonadota. The record is from RNAcentral.
UAGGGAAUCUUCGGCGAUGGACGAAAGUCUGACCGAGCAACGCCGCGUGAGUGAAGAAGGUUUUCGGAUCGUAAAACUCUGUUGUUAGAGAAGAACAAGGACGUUAGUAACUGAACGUCCCCUGACGGUAUCUAACCAGAAAGCCACGGCUAACUACGUGCCAGCAGCCGCGGUAAUACGUAUGUGGCAAGCGUUGUCCGGAUUUAUUGGGCGUAAAGCGAGCGCAGGCGGUUUCUUAAGUCUGAUGUGAAAGCCCCCGGCUCAACCGGGGAGGGUCAUUGGAAACUGGGAGACUUGAGUGCAGAAGAGGAGAGUGGAAUUCCAUGUGUAGCGGUGAAAUGCGUAGAUAUAUGGAGGAACACCAGUGGCGAAGGCGGCUCUCUGGUCUGUAACUGACGCUGAGGCUCGAAAGCGUGGGGAGCAAACAGG